GAGUUUGAUCCUGGCUCAGAAUGAACGCUGGCGGCGUGCUUAACACAUGCAAGUCGAACGAGAAAGCCCGAUUUCGGUCGGGCGAGUAAAGUGGCGCACGGGUGAGUAACGCGUAGGCAACCUACCCUCGUAUCGGGGAUAACACUUCGAAAGGGGUGCUAAUACCGGAUGAGACCCUUUGGCGUGAGCUUCGGGGUGAAAGUCGGCCUCUCUAUAGAAGCCGGUGUACGGGGAAGGGCCUGCGUCCUAUCAGCUAGUUGGUGGGGUAACGGCCUACCAAGGCGACGACGGGUAGCUGGUCUGAGAGGAUGAUCAGCCACACUGGCACUGGAACACGGGCCAGACUCCUACGGGAGGCAGCAGUGAGGAAUUUUGCGCAAUGGCCGAAAGGCUGACGCAGCAACGCCGCGUGGGUGAUGAAGGCCUUCGGGUCGUAAAGCCCUGUCAGGUGGGAAGAAAACCUCGGGAUCGAAUAGGUUUCGAGCUUGACGGUACCACCAGAGGAAGCACCGGCUAACUCCGUGCCAGCAGCCGCGGUAA
Molecule: ribosomal RNA, 540 nt
Filed under: uncultured delta proteobacterium
Lineage: Bacteria; Deltaproteobacteria
Description: bacterial SSU rRNA
Rfam family: Bacterial small subunit ribosomal RNA
Source: RNAcentral